Molecule: ribosomal RNA, 451 nt
Filed under: uncultured bacterium
Lineage: Bacteria
Description: bacterial SSU rRNA
Rfam family: Bacterial small subunit ribosomal RNA
Source: RNAcentral
GUGAGGAAUUUUGCGCAAUGGGCGAAAGCCUGACGCAGCAACGCCGCGUGGACGAUGAAGGUCUUCGGAUCGUAAAGUCCUGUCGAGUGGGAAGAAAAAUGCGGGGGCUAAUACCUCCCGCAUUCGACUGUACCACCAGAGGAAGCCCCGGCUAACUCCGUGCCAGCAGCCGCGGUAAUACGGAGGGGGCCAGCGUUGUUCGGAAUUAUUGGGCGUAAAGGGCGCGUAGGCGGCCGAGUCAGUCUGGCGUGAAAUCCCCCGGCCCAACCGGGGAACUGCGCUUGAUACUGCUUGGCUCGAGUCCGGGAGAGGGUAGCGGAAUUCCCAGUGUAGCGGUGAAAUGCGUAGAUAUUGGGAGGAACACCGGUGGCGAAGGCGGCUACCUGGACCGGUACUGACGCUGAGGCGCGAAAGCUAGGGGAGCAAACAGGAUUAGAAACCCCAGUAGUCC